UGGGGAAUAUUGCACAAUGGGCGCAAGCCUGAUGCAGCCAUGCCGCGUGUAUGAAGAAGGUCUCCGGGUUGUAAAGUACUUUCAGUCGGGAGGAAGGUGGUAAGGUUAAUAACCUUAUCAAUUGACGUUACCGACAGAAGAAGCACCGGCUAACUCUGUGCCAGCAGCCGCGGUAAUACGGAGGGUGCAAGCGUUAAUCGGAAUUACUGGGCGUAAAGCGCACGCAGGCGGUUGAUUGAGUCAGAUGUGAAAUCCCCGGGCUUAACCCGGGAAUUGCAUCUGAUACUGGUCAGCUAGAGUCUUGUAGAGGGGGGUAGAAUUCCAUGUGUAGCGGUGAAAUGCGUAGAGAUGUGGAGGAAUACCGGUGGCGAAGGCGGCCCCCUGGACAAAGACUGACGCUCAGGUGCGAAAGCGUGGGGAGCAAACCGG
This 429-nucleotide ribosomal RNA is filed under the name Chloroflexota bacterium. Its description in RNAcentral is "Chloroflexi bacterium partial 16S ribosomal RNA". It matches the Rfam family "Bacterial small subunit ribosomal RNA", at positions 355 to 776 of the family's 1533-position model. The record is from RNAcentral. Lineage: Bacteria; Bacillati; Chloroflexota.